This 84-nucleotide transfer RNA is filed under the name Alphaproteobacteria bacterium. RNAcentral's name for it is "tRNA-Leu". It matches the Rfam family "tRNA". Rfam says of the family: Transfer RNA (tRNA) molecules are approximately 80 nucleotides in length. Their secondary structure includes four short double-helical elements and three loops (D, anti-codon, and T loops). Further hydrogen bonds mediate the characteristic L-shaped molecular structure. tRNAs have two regions of fundamental functional importance: the anti-codon, which is responsible for specific mRNA codon recognition, and the 3' end, to which the tRNAs corresponding amino acid is attached (by aminoacyl-tRNA synthetases). tRNAs cope with the degeneracy of the genetic code in two manners: having more than one tRNA (with a specific anti-codon) for a particular amino acid; and 'wobble' base-pairing, i.e. permitting non-standard base-pairing at the 3rd anti-codon position. The record is from RNAcentral. Lineage: Bacteria; Pseudomonadati; Pseudomonadota; Alphaproteobacteria.
GCGGAUGUGGUGGAAUGGUAGACACGACGGUCUUAGAAGCCGUUGCCGAGAGGCGUGGGAGUUCGAGUCUCUUCAUCCGCACCA